Small nuclear RNA from Artibeus jamaicensis (Jamaican fruit-eating bat), 109 nucleotides. The record is from RefSeq and is a predicted model, not a curated record. NCBI's taxonomy places the organism in Eukaryota, Metazoa, Chordata, Mammalia, Chiroptera, Phyllostomidae.
GUGCUUGCCUGGGCAGCGCAUAUACCAAUACUGGAAGGAUACAGAGAAGAUCAGCUGAUCCCUGUGCCAGGGUGACACGCAAUUCCAGGAUUCCGUUUUAAAGAUUUUU